This 34795-nucleotide long non-coding RNA is filed under the name Solanum lycopersicum (tomato). Its description in RNAcentral is "long non-coding RNA (SLYC_LNC000566)". Lineage: Eukaryota; Viridiplantae; Streptophyta; Magnoliopsida; Solanales; Solanaceae. The record is from RNAcentral.
UUUUAACAUCCUUUUGAAGUCCAACUUGACCUUUUGCGCUUAAGCUAUACCAUAAGAAAAUUGGAGUCAAACCGUUACGACUACCAGAAAUAGUGGCAUCGACAGAAGCAAUGUAUUCCACAUUUGUUGAGAGAUUAUUGAUGUAGCUUUUUCUUGUUAUUUGGACACCACAAGGCAUUGGGCAUCCUAAGAACUUGUGACCAGAAAUUGUGACACUUCCAAUUGGCUUCUUGAAACUAAUCAUCUGUUCAAAUUGCACAAAGAAUUAUUAGAAUAUCGCUUUGAGAAUUACUUACGAGUUUGUUAGAAGUAAGAAGCAAUUGAAACUCACAUUGUUUAUAAAAGGGGUCAUAAGACCACAUAGUGCUGCAUCACAAUGGAUGUAAAACCUAUCUUGUGAAUAGCCACAUUCUUUGAGUGUUUCAAGAAUAACAUCCAGGUCAUCGAUUGCUCCUUUGAACGUAGUUCCUAUAGUUAAAAGAACCAUCAAAGGAAAAGUCAUAAGAUGGCUAAAUUCAUAAAAGAGAUAAAUAAAAAGGAUAGAGGUUGGAGUAUAGGUAUAUACCAAUUGUGACAUUUAUAAUAGCUGGUUUGUCCUUAUUUUGAAGUAACUUUGCUCUUAAAUCUGAAUAAUCCAUCUCCCCAUUCACUGAUGUGUUGAUUGUUUCUGAAUCCAUUCUAUACAUUCUUGCAGCUUUGAAGACUGAGUAGUGAGAGUCUUUUGAUGCAUAUAAUAUUCCUUCAGGAAGUAACUCUCUCCUGCAAAAUUAUACCAAAAAAUUUAAGAACACCAAAAACAUAAAUAGAUGUUAUUAUAUUAUAUGAACUUGUGUGUGAAUAUAUGAACUUACCCUAACAAAAUACCAUGGAGAUUGCCUUCGGUGCCACCAUUGGUAACAUAUCCCCAAUAUUGAUCCUUUUCAAUUUCCCAUAGUUUUGCAAACCAAUCCAAAACAGCCACUUCAAAGUCUUUUGAAUGGAAAUCGACAGUGUUUUGUAGGAAAGGAUCACCACAAUUGUUUAGGUGAAACUGCAAAAGUGGUGCUAAAGAUGCAUAGUGAUCAUAACAUAUGUUGACUGGAUAACCUAAAUGAUAAUUGACUCGUUGAGUAAGUGUGUCCAAAUAAUUGACCAAGAUAGUGUCCAAAGAAGGACCAUUAUUGUUCAAAGAAGGUUCCAUGACUUCAAGUUGUAAGUUUUUCCUUGGCCCUGCGCCUGAUUGUUCCACCUUCUGUUUUUUGUUGUCCACAUUUGGAAACAAUCUUCGUCGUGCUAAACUUUUGGGUGUCAUCGCUGCUAAACUUCUGGGUGUCAUAGGUGAUGGCUCAAAAUCCUGUCAAGAAUCAUGAUAAAUAUCCAAUUUAAGAUUAGAUAUAUUCAAGUAAAUAAAAACAUAUUGUAUGUAUAGAGGAGGUCGUACAAAAUCAAGAGACAUAAUUUCAAUAAUAAGUAGAGGAGAUGUUUGUGCAUGUUACAAACAUGAAGAGUACGUACCAUUUCAAGUGUGAGGCUACCCAUUCUUGUGAAAUACAAAUUUAUAGUAAGUUUUUUUUUUUGGUUGCUUAGGCCUUAGAAUAAUGGAGAAGCUAGCAACUGGUGAGUACAUUUUGUUCAUAUGUUUGUGAUACUUAUAUAUAGGCCUUACAAGUUGAAGGUUUUGUGCACCAACCACCCUUUUAAUUUCCUCUCAGUUUCUUCAAUUGUGUCCCACUUGCUUUUUCUAACUUCCAUUAAGUAUAUAUUUAUAUAUUUUUCAAAUUAAAUGAACUUUUUCCCUGUGCGGUUUUGACCAAGCUAUUCUUAGAAAGACUAGUCAACUUACUAGAAAAUAUUAUUAUGAAUGAUGGGUUGGUGAAAGUAAAUCCAAAUAAAAUUAAACAUGCAAAGACUAUAAUCACAAAUUAAACGCGUACUUAUAAGCAAUUCAUUCUUUAUUAAUAUAAUAACCAUUCAUGUCUAACUACAACCAUUAAAAUGUUAUUUCUCCAUUUGCCUUGCAUAAUAAUGCUAUGAAUAAUGUUCAUUUAUGGAUAUACAUAACUAUGACUUUAAAAGUGAAAAAUCGGUUGAAUAACAGGUUAUAAGUUAUUCUCUAAAUUUAAAAUGCAACUUUAAAUUUGAUUCAAAAAAUUUUAUACUCAAACACUAAUUUUUAAAUGAAAUAAAAUAAAAUAAAAAAUAGUCCAAAAAGAUAAAAUAUUUUUUUAUGGUCAAAUGAGUCCUACUUAAUAUUUGGAUUUCACUAGGAUGCUACUUGGUGGAUUCUUUGUAUACAAGCAAAGUGGAAUUUAGCUACUUCACUCCACCAAAUGUCAAUAAUUAGGAACCAAAGACACGAGUCAACCUUUGAAUUGGUCUAUUUUAACUAUCUUCACACCAAUUAUAAUUUAUAGAUCUAAUGGGGCAUUAAUAACAUGUUUGAAUAAUGAAUAUUUUUUUAUUCCGAUUGCAAUUGAGCUUUCAGAAAUUGAUAUUUUUUUAAAUAUAUAAAUGUUAGACUCGAAAUUAAUUGUAUUUAAAAAUUUAAUUUUUUUUUUAUAAUAACUUUAUAUUUAGUCUGGCCAUGUUAGACACUUGAUGAUAAAUGUCAAUCCAAUAGUCGAUUUCAAGAUUCCUACUUUAGAAAUAUCUAAAAUUUAUUAGUCUAGUUAUUUCAAAAUUAACGUUAGACCUAUAUGGCCAAAGUUAAAAACAAAAAUCAAAGAUUGAAAAUAAAUUUUAGAUAUAUGAAUCUAAACUUAUGCUUAUUAAAGUCAACCUUCAGACAAUUUGAAAGCUUUUUGGUCUGAUAGUAGCGGAUGUAUUAGCAAAAUACACGAAGAAAAACGAAAUAUCCACGUAUAAUCAAUAACUGACCCAUGUUUCUGAGGCAUCUCCUUCUCUUAUAUCAUAUAAGAUUAGUUUCACUUUUGUAUGAAUAAACAUUAUAAUAAAAAUGAUUAUUAGCGGUAUUUAAUUUUUAAUUGUCGCUAAAUAUGUUUUUUUAUCGGUAAUUAUCACUCUUUGAAUAUGUUCCUAAAGCCUUUAGCGACAUUAGUUCUAAUGAGUAAAGAAUUUAUCACUUAUUACUAAAUAAAACUUAACUUCAAAAGAAAAUGUGUAUGGAUUUUGUAUCUUUUUGAAGUGUGAUGUGGUACUCAAUUUGCCACUAGACAUGGUGGAACCUAAUCCUACCUAUUAUUGGUGAACGUUUGCUAAUUCAUACAACUGAAAUUUUCAAACUUCAAUUUUUCUUUAGAAAUUACAAGGUCCAAGUAUGCUAGAACCAAAACUUAAAAAUUGUAUAAUUGUUUGUCCUAUAUCUUGAAUUCUGUCACCAUAUUUCUAUUUGUUGUGCGAAAUUUGAGAUAAUACGAGAAAAUAUAUAAAUGCGAAAAACAAGACAACAGAUUUACGUGGUUCACCAAUAAAUUGGCUACGUCCACGGGAAGAGAGGGAGCAGUUUUAUUAUGGAGAGGCAAAAACAGAAUUACAAAAUAGGGUUUGCCAUAGCGUCUAUAUAUAUAUAUAGUGCUAAGCUACGCCCUAACAGGCUUGGGCCCAACAUACAGAAUUGACAGAAAAUUAAGGGCCCAAUACAACAACAUUGUAUAUCCUUUCUGUUUGUAACGGGUCCGAUUCAAGACAUUCAACACUAUUAUGAUCAGUAUUUACUUUUAUCCAACUCUAUGAGUUAAGAGUAAAAAUUUGGUAAGUUUGUUGUUAAUUAAUAACAUAUAGUAUUAAAUAAAUAGUAUUAAAUAAUAUUAGUAUUUACUGUGUACUAAUCCAAGUCCUAUUAGGAUUAGUACUCCUUAAUCCUAGUUCUAUUAGGAUUAGUACUCCUUCCUAUAUCUCCUAUAUAUAUCUCCCAUGUAUUCCCUUAUUAGGUUAACACUUCAAUACAAUCAAUAUUCCUUCAUGGUAUCAAGAGCCAGAAAACCUAGAUCUUCUUUUCUCUAGUUUUUCUUUUCUCUCUUUAGGGCACCGAUCGUUCCCUCUCUUCUCUUGGGCGGCGGCAGCCAUGACAACCGAGGUGGAUCCUCUCGAUUCAUUUCCUUCUGGCAUUAAACUCCUUCUCAGGCAUCUUCAUGCCCUGAUUCCCAAAAAAUUAUCAGACAUAAAUUACCCUACAUGGAAAAUCACCGUUCUUACAGCCCUUGAGGCCAAUUACCUUCUCAAAUACGUCGAUGGAAGCACAGAACCGCCGCCGGCAGUCAUCACCGCCACGGACAAAUUAGAAAAAACCAAUCCGGGCCAUGCCGCCUGGAAAGUCGUGGAUGGCCAGACCCGAUCAUGUUUAAUUGCGGUCAUCUCUCCCACGGUUCAGAAACACGUCCGAUCCUACACAACUGCUUCAGCCCUGUGGACGGCUCUCGCAACACGCUAUGCAUCAAUUUCCCACUCUCAUAUUUUUCAAUUGCGUGAUCGUCUCCACACAAUUACCAAAGGCACGAAAACUAUGACGGAGUAUUUAGACGAGGUCUCCACCAUCAUCACAGCCCUCGACACCGUGAAUGAAAUCAUUUCCGAAAAAGAUCUCGUCAUGUGCGUCGUUCGGGGGCUCCCAUCAGCUUACUCCUCCAUUAAACAGGCGGUUCGCAUCAGUCCAACGCCCGUGACCUGGCUACUCUCUCCUCGUGGCUAAAAAGUGAAGAAAUCAACGUGGAUCUGGAGAGCAAACUUCUUCUCCGAGAAGCCGCUGUAAUGGAGCCGGCCACCGCCCUCACCGCAAGCCAGAACUAUCGCGGGGGCGUGGUGGCAGCCGGCAGGGGGGCCGCGGCGGCUACGGCAGAAACAGCGGAGGUAGCGGGCGUGGCGGUCGGCAGGGCAGUCGUCCGCCGUACGACGGUCAGCAGCACGACAGCAACAACAGCCUGCACUCCUUCGACAGCGGCGGACAGUCAUCUUCCAGCGGCGGGCAGGGCACUUACGAGCGGGAUCGUCUAACUUAUCAAAUCUGUCAGAAAACAGAACACACCGCUGUUCGUUGCUGGUUUCGGUAUAAGGAGAGCCGAAAUAGUGAUAACCGUGUCAAUUAUGCAUCUCAAGCCGGCCCUUCCUCUGAAUGACUGUUGGAUACUGGGGCCAACAUGCACGUUACUUCUGAUCUAUCCAAGCUUAACGCUCCAAAUCCAUAUCAUGGCUCCAAUGGUAUUACUGUUGGCAACGGUGAGUCCCUUAAUAUUUCUCACACUGGCACGGGUACCAUUAAAACCCCCACCGCUAUCUUUCACCUAGGUAACCUUACCCACGUCCCUUUUAUUAAAAUCAAUCUCCUUUCAGUUCACCAAUUCACAAAAGACAAUAAUUGCUCACUCUUGUUCACCUCUAAUGAUUUUCAGAUCCUAGACAAUACUACCAAGAGGGUGAUUUUUUAGGGCCCCUGUGAGCAUGGUCUGUAUGUUCUUCCUGGCACAAGUUCGUCUGCCCACCCAGUUUCAAAAAGCGUUCCUGUGGCUCCGCUGGCUCUUUCGGCCGAUGGCCACAGUCUGUUGUGGCACAGUCGUCUAGGUCACCCGUCUACUCAAAUAAUAAAUUCUUUAAUGUCUCAAUUAGGUUUUUCUUCCAUUCAUGUAAACAAUUGUGACUCCUGUUCAAUUGCCAAAACCUCAUAAAUUACCUUUUACUUUAUCUGAGAAGCGUACAACUGCACCUUUUCAACUUAUUCAUUCUGACCUAUGGGGUCCUACUGCUGUUUCUUCAUUUACUGGUUUUCGCUAUUAUAUUUGUUUUGUGGAUGAUUUUACAAAAUACACUUGGUUGUACCCACUAAAACACAAAUCACAGGCAUACACCACCUUUGUCACUUUUGAAAAAAUGGUCAAAACACAAUUCAAUUCUCAUGUUAAACUUUUUCGAAGUGACAAUGGAAAGGAAUAUGUAAAUAACAUCUUUGGCCAGUUUCUGCAAUCCCUGAGAAUUAUACAUCAAACCUCCUGUCCAUACACUCCCGAACAAAAUGGGGUGGCUAAGCGUAAGCAUCGCCAUCUCAUUGAAACGGUGGUUACUCUAGCCACCGCAAACUACCUCAUUAACAAAAUGCCCAGUCACACCCUCUCCAACAAAUCACCCUAUCAACUCCUUUACCAAGAACUUCCCAAUUAUACCAACCUCCGCGUCUUUGGGUGUCUUGCCUACCCUUGGCUACGCCCUCAUAUUACUCACAAAUUACAACCCCGAUCCCGUCCUUGUAUUUUUUUGGGCUAUCAUCCUACCUCCAAGGGUUAUCGCUGUCUUGACCCACAAACUCAUAAAGUCUACAUAUCUCGUCAUGUCAAAUUUGUCGAAAAUGAGUUUCCUUACGAGUCUAUUUCCUCCUCCACAAAUACAUCAUUCAUUGGCGUCCUUCCUCUUUUUCCAACAUACUCACAGGGUCCCUCAUCACCUUCCCCCACACCUCUAUCCACUACCCAACCACCCUUCAUCACCCCUUCGACCGUCACCCACAAUACACCCGCAACCACCACCCACACUCACAACCAACCCGAACCACCCCAUACCCACAACAUCUCCAGCCCGAUCCGUUUUGGGUCCUUCCCGGCCACCCCUGAAUCACCACCGCCCGUGCCACCCGCCAAUACCCAUCCCAUGUUAACCCGUGGCAAAGCCGGUAUCUUUAAACCCAAAACCUUUCAGGCUACCAUACUACCAAAUACACCCCUUCCCGAUAGUGAACCAACAACCUACUGUGUUGCCUCACAAAAUGCUUAUUGGCGUCAUGCUAUGGAUGACGAGUUUAAGGCUUUGACUGAUCAGAAAACUUGGGUUCUUGUACCCACUGAAGAAUAACCGGCUGAUAUUCUCACCAAGCCUCUCCCGAGCCGACAGCACGAUUACCUCAGUUCCAAGCUUUCGUUCGCUUCCGCUCAGCUCAGCUUGAGGGGGAUAAUGACAGAUAGUAUUAAAUAAAUAGUAUUAAAUAAUAUUAGUAUUUACUGUGUACUAAUCCUAGUCCUAUUAAAAUUAGUACUCCUUAAUCCUAGUUCUAUUAGGAUUAGUACUCCUUAAUCCUAGACAUAUUAGGAUUAGUACUCCUUCCUAUAUAUCCUAUAUAUAUCUCCCAUUAUUCCCUUAUUAGGUUAACACUUCAAUACAAUUAAUAUUCCUUCAUUAAUAUACCUUGUUUUUAUGUGAAACUUUAUACUUCUGCAAUAACAUCUAGUUUCCACAAUUUCCAACAAAUAAUAAUAAUAAUUUUUUGAAUAAUUAAUGAAUUCAACUUGUUAAUUUUAACUAACAAGACUAAGAAUUAGAAUGUCAAGGAAUUUUAUUCAAAGAAUAUCAUAAAAGAGUGUCAAAACUUUAUAAUUUAAAAAAUGUUUCAUGUAUAUAAUUCAAUUUCAAUGGUUCUAACAAAUGAAAGAAUUAAUAAGAGUUACAAAAUGGCAUCUCAAUGGAAAACAUACUAACGGCAACAAAGGUCGUCUCUCAUUUCUUUGCCUUCUAAGGAGUAAUGAAGUCAAUCUUAUGGUAAGAGCAUGCACAAUUUUGAGCACCAAUAUCCUCUCCAACACAAGGAGGAUUAGUCUUUCCAUUUUGAUACCAUACUUUUCUUUGUUGCACUAAUUCACUCAUGAAGUUGUCAAGCAUUUCUCGUGUGAUGCCUGGCAUUACAAUAACAUGUGCCAUAUCCUUGACGCAUGAGAGUUGCCAACGACGCACAAAUUCAUGGUCACGAGGCCUUUCAAGUACAACUAUGAUGCUUAGCUCAUUCAGCAUGACACUUAUCCCUGCUUGUUGAAGACGAUCUUUCAAAUAUUUGGCAUUGUCGAGACAUCUUUUAACAUCCUUUUGAAGUCCAACUUGACCUUUUGCGCUCAAGCUGUACCAUAAGAAAAUUAGAGUUAAACCGUUACGGCUACCAGAAAUCGUGGCAUCCACAGAAGCAAUGUAUUCCACAUUUGUUGAGAGAUUAUUGAUGUAGCUUUUUCUUGUUAUUUGGACACCACAAGGCAUUGGGCAUCCUAAGAACUUGUGACCAGAAAUUGUGACACUUCCAAUUGGCUUCUUGAAACUAAUCAUCUGUUCAAAUUUUUAAAAAGAAUAAUUAGAUUGUCGCUUUGAGAAUUACUAAAGAUAUUGUAAUUAGAAGUAAGAAGCAAUUGAAACUCACAUUGUUUAUAAAAGGGGUCAUAAGACCACAUAGUGCAGCAUCACAGUGGAUGUAAAAUCGAUCUUGUGAAUAGCCACAUUCUUUGAGUGUUUCAAGAAUAACGUCAACAUCAUCAAUAGCUCCUUUGAACGUAGUUCCUAUAAUUAAAAGAACCAUCAAUGGAAAAGACAUAAGAUGACUGAUUUGGUCACAUAAAAGAAAAAUGAAAAAUGAUAAGAGGUUGGAGUAUAGGUAUAUACCAAUUGUGACAUUUAUAAUAGCUGGUUUAUCCUUAUUUUGAAGUAACUUUGCUCUUAAAUCUGAAUAAUCCAUCUCUCCAUUUACUGAUGUGUUGAUUGUUUCUGAAUCCAUUCUAUACAUUCUUGCAGCUUUGAAUACUGAGUAAUGAGAGUCUUUUGAUGCAUAUAAUAUUCCUUCAGGAAGUAACUCUCUCCUGCAAAAAAUAAUAUGAUGAAAAUGUAAGAGCACCGAAAUAAUAAAAUUCAUUAUAUGAUAUGCUUGUGUCAUAAGUAUAUAUGAACUUACCCUAACAAAAUACCAUGGAGAUUGCCUUCAGUGCCACCAUUGGUAACAUAUCCCCAAUAUUGAUCCUUUUCAAUUCCCCAAAGUUGUGCAAACCAAUCCAAAACAGCCACUUCAAAGUCUUUAGAAUGGAAAUCAACAGUGUUUUGAAGGAAAGUGUUGAAUGCCUUGAAUCGGACCCGCUACAAACAGAAAGGACGGGGGUCUCGCUGACGGUAUACAAUGUUGUUGUAUUGGGCCCUUAAUUUUCUGUUGAUUCUGUAUGUUGGGCCCAAGCCUGUUAGGGCGUAGCUUAGCACUAUAUAUAGACGCUAUGGGAAACCCUAUUCUGUAAUUCUGUUUUUGCCUCUCCAUAAUAAAACUGCUCCCUCUCUUCCCGUGGACGUAGCCAAUUUAUUGGUGAACCACGUAAAUCUGUUGUCUUGUUUUUCGCGUUUAUAUUUUCUCGUAUUAUCUCAAAUUCCGCACAACAAAUUGGUAUCAGAGCCUCUCGGUUAAUCGGUGUUCUUGGCGAAUUCGAGAUGUCUGCUUUGAACGUGAAAAUCGACAAAUUCACAGGGAGGAACAGUUUCAGUUUAUGGCAGAUCAAGAUGCGGGCCUUGUUGAAAAACAGCAAGGCUUCUGGGCGCCGUUGUCGAAAGACAAGAACGCCGUCGUUACUCCUGAGAUGGCGAUUCUGGAGGAAAAGGCGCACUCGACGAUCAUGCUGUGUCUCGCGGAUGACGUCAUCACGGAGGUCUCGGAUGAAGAGACUACUGCUGGUCUGUGGUUGAAGCUGGAGAGUUUGUACAUGACAAAAUCUCUAACCAACAAGCUGCUUCUGAAACAACGUCUAUUCGGUUUACGAAUGGCUGAAGGUACACAACUCAGGGAACACUUAGAGCAAUUGAAUACUUUGUUAUUAGAAUUGCGUAAUAUCGAUGUGAAGAUCGAGGAUGAAGAUGCUGCCCUGAUUCUGUUAGUAUCUCUCCCAAUGUCGUUUGAGAAUUUUGUUCAAUCGUUCAUUGUUGGGAAAGAUACUGUGUCACUGGAAGAAGUCAGAUCGGCCCUUCAUAGCAGGGAAUUACGGCAUAAGGCUAACGGCACAAGUACGGACAUACAGCCUUCCGGUCUGUUCACCAGUAGCGGAAAGGGAAGGAAAAACGGCGGAAAGAAAAAUAAGCCGAUGUCGAAGGGUGCAAAGCCGGAUGAUGUUUGUAAUUACUGCAAGGAGAAGGGACAUUGGAAAUUUGAUUGUCCGAAGAAGAAGAAGCAAUCGGAAAAACAAUCAGUGUCUGCUGCUGUUGCUGAAGAAGACACCAAUUCUGAAGAAGAUAUUGCCCUAAUUGCGGAUGAGCACACUCAUUAUUCAGAUGUGUGGGUUCUUGAUUCUGGGGCAUCCUAUCACAUCUGUCCUAGGAGAGAGUGGUUCACGACUUAUGAGCAGGUAGACGGAGGCAGCAUCUCGAUGGCCAACAGUUCUGUCUGCAAGGUGGUUGGGACAGGCUCGAUCAAGUUAAGGACACAUGACGGUAGCUUCUGCACAUUGAACGAGGUCAGGCACGUUCCAUUGAUGACGAAAAAUCUGAUAUCUCUCAGUCUUUUGGACAGCAAGGGAUUCAGCUGGUCGGGAAAAGAUGGAGUCUUGCGGGUCUGGAAGGGUUCAAAUUUGAUUCUGAAAGGUGUCAUGCGUGGUACUUUGUAUUUUCUACAAGGUUCCACGGUUACAGGUUCAGCCCAUGUUGCAUCGUCAGAAUUUCACCAGAAGGAUAUGACUAAGUUAUGGCACAUGAGACUUGGUCAUAUGGGUGAAAGAGGGAUGCAAAUUCUGUCAAAGGAGGAUUUACUUGCUGGUCAUAAGGUUAAGAGCCUAGAGUUUUGUGAACAUUGUGUUUUUGGAAAACUACAUCGCAACAAGUUUCCAAAGGCCAUUCAUAGAACAAAAGGCACACUUGAUUAUAUCCAUUCUGAUUGCUGGGGUCCAUGCCGUGUUGAGUCUUUGGGAGGCUGCAGAUUUUUUGUGUCCAUUAUUGAUGACUACUCAAGGAUGACUUGGGUGUACAUGAUGAAGCAUAAAAGUGAAGCCUUCCAGAAGUUCAAGGAGUGGAAAAUUUUGAUGGAAAAUCAAACAGGGAAGAAGAUCAAGAGGUUGCGAACUGAUAAUGGGCUGGAAUUCUGUUGGUCUGAAUUUGAUCAAUUCUGUAAGGAUGAAGGGAUUGCUCGACAUCGUACAGUCAGAAAUACACCACAGCAGAACGGUGUAGCUGAGCGGAUGAAUCAAACACUUCUGGAGAGAGCAAGGUGCAUGCUCUCUAAUGCUGGGCUAGAUAGAAGAUUCUGGGCAGAAGCGGUUAGUACAGCUUGCUACUUGAUUAACCGCGGACCACAUACAGGCAUACAGUGCAAGACACCUAUGGAGAUGUGGUCAGGAAAAGUUGCUGAUUAUUCAAAUCUGAAAGCUUUUGGUUGUACGGCUUACUAUCACGUCAGUGAAGGUAAGUUAGAACCAAGAGCUAAAAAGGGAGUAUUUGUGGGCUACGGAGAUGGAGUGAAAGGUUUCAGAAUCUGGUCUCCAGCAGAAAAGAGGGUUAUUAUGAGCAGGAACGUUGUCUUUGAUGAAAGUUCUCUGCUUAGAACCAUUGUGAAGCCUACAACUACGUCAGAAACUGGGAGUCUUGACAAACAGGUGGAGUUUCAAGUCAUUCAGAACGAGAGAGAUUUAAAGGAACCUGAAGAGGAGGAUCAAGAGCCAGAGACAGAAACUGAUAUUCCAGAAUCUAUGCCAUCAGAUAUCCAUCAGAGUAUAGCUCAAGAUCGGCCAAGGAGGGUUGGAGUUCGGCCACCUACGAGGUAUGGUUUUGAGGACAUGGUGGGUUAUGCACUGCAGGUUGCUGAAGAGGUAGAUACAUCUGAGUCGUCUACUUACAAAGAAGCCAUUUUAAGUUCUGAUUCUGAAAAAUGGUUUGCCGCUAUGGGAGAUGAGAUGGAGUCCCUACACAAGAAUCAGACAUGGGAUCUGGUCAUACAGCCUUCGGGGAGAAAGAUUAUUACUUGCAAAUGGGUUUUCAAGAAGAAGGAAGGGAUAUCACCAGCAGAAGGAGUCAAGUAUAAAGCCAGGGUUGUUGCCAGAGGUUUCAACCAAAGAGAGGGAGUGGACUACAAUGAGAUCUUCUCACCAGUGGUCAGACAUACUUCCAUCCGAGUGUUACUAGCGAUAGUUGCACAUCAGAAUCUGGAGCUUGAACAACUUGAUGUGAAGACAGCGUUUCUACAUGGAGAGUUGGAGGAAGAGAUAUACAUGACUCAGCCGGAUGGUUUCCAAGUUCCAGGGAAGGAAAAUCACGUCUGCAAGUUGAAGAAGUCCUUAUAUGGACUUAAGCAGUCUCCAAGGCAGUGGUAUAAAAGGUUUGACAGCUAUAUGGUGAAGUUGGGCUAUACUCGGAGCUCAUAUGAUUGUUGUGUCUACUACAAUAGGCUCAAUGAUGAUUCAUUCAUCUAUCUGGUGUUUUAUGUAGAUGAUAUGUUGAUAGCUGCAAAGAAGAAGUAUGACAUUCAGAAGCUGAAGGGUUUACUUAGUGCUGAGUUUGAGAUGAAGGAUCUGGGAGCCGCUCGGAAGAUUUUAGGGAUGGAGAUCAUUAGAGACAGAGAGAGAAGGAAACUUUUCUUGUCACAGAGAAGCUAUAUUCAGAAGGUCUUGGCGAGGUUUGGCAUGUCUUCAUCUAAGCCCAUUGAUACCCCCAGUGCUGCCAAUAUCCAUCUCACUGCCAUGUUCGCUCCACAGUCAGAAGAAGAGAAGGAGUAUAUGUCACGAGUCCCCUAUGCCAGUGCCGUAGGAAGUUUAAUGUAUGCUAUGGUCUGUACAAGGCCAGAUUUAGCACAUGCAGUCAGUGUAGUGAGCAGAUUCAUGGGACAACCAGGGAGAGAACAUUGGCAGGCUGUGAAGAGAAUUUUCCGGUACCUUAGAGGUACAUCUGACGUUGGUCUCAUUUAUGGAGGUGAUACUCAGUGCUUGGUUACUGGCUAUUCUGAUUCAGACUAUGCUGGAGAUGUUGACACAAGAAGAUCGAUGACUGGCUAUGUGUUUACCCUUGGAGGAUCUGUCGUCAGUUGGAAGGCAACUUUGCAACCUACAGUGACUUUGUCUUCUACGGAAGCGGAGUACAUGGCCUUGACAGAGGCUGCAAAAGAAGGGAUUUGGUUGAAAGGGCUGGUUAGUGAUCUUGGUCUGCAUCAUGAUCAGGCUACGGUGUAUUGUGACAGUUUGAGCGCAAUUUGUCUAGCCAAGGAUCAAGUCCAUCAUGAGAGAACCAAGCAUAUUGACGUAAGGUAUCAUUUUCUGAGAAGUGAGAAGAGAAUCAAGGUGAAGAAAGUAGGAACUGCUGAUAAUCCUGCUGAUAUGUUUACAAAGCCGGUUCCACAGAGCAAGUUUCAACACUGUUUGGACUUGCUCAACAUCAGAAGCUGUUAAUUGCCCUGCGGGGCAACUCUGAGGAAGAGGGGGAGUCCUGGCACUAUCAUAGUGCGUCUGAAGAAUCUGUUCGGAGAAUUCAAGUCAAGGUGGAGAUUUGUUGAAUGCCUUGAAUCGGACCCGCUACAAACAGAAAGGAUGGGAUCUCCCCAAUAUAUUGAGUCAAUACAUUUAACUUUUAAGAAAAUAUUCUUUCUCCCAUGUUUUUAUCAGUGGCACAUUCAUGAUUUUGUGACAAUAGUUACUUAAUGUUUUUUGUGUUAAGAUAAAGUUAUGUUGUAUUGGGCCCUUAAUUUUCUGUUGAUUCUGUAUGUUGGGCCCAAGCCUGUUAGGGCGUAGCUUAGCACUAUAUAUAGACGCUAUGGGAAACCCUAUUCUGUAAUUCUGUUUUUGCCUCUCCAUAAUAAAACUGCUCCCUCUCUUCCCGUGGACGUAGCCAAUUUAUUGGUGAACCACGUAAAUCUGUUGUCUUGUUUUUCGCGUUUAUAUUUUCUCGUAUUAUCUCAAAUUCAGCACAACAGAAAGGAUCACCACAAUUGUUUAAGUGAAACUGUAAAAGUGGUGCUAAAGAUGCAUAGUGAUCAUAACAUAUAUUGACUGGAUAACCUAAAUGAUAAUUGACUCGUUGAGUAAGUGUGUCCAAAUAAUUGACCAAUAUAGUGUCCAAGGAAGGACCAUCAUUGUCCAAAGCAGGUUCCAUGACUUCAAGUUGUAAGUUCUUCCUUGGUCCUGCACCUGAUUGUUCCACCUUCUGUUUUUUGUUGUCCACAUUUGGAAACAAUCUUCGCCGCGCUAAACUUCUAGGUGUCAUCGCUGCUAAACUUCUGGGUGUCAUGGGUGAUGGCUCAAAAUCCUGUCAAAUAUCAUAGUUCAAUUAAUGAUAUAAUUAAGUAAAUAAAAUAUAUUUUGUGAUAUAAUGAGGAUGUCUGAGACAUAAUAUACGACAAAAUUGUGCAUGUAACUAGCUAAGAUGAAGAGUGCAUACCAUUUCAAGUGAAAGGCUACCCAUUCUCGUGAAACGCAAAUUUAUAUUUUAAUAGUAUGUUUUCUGUUUGCUUAGAAUAAAGGAGAGGUAUUUAUAACUGUUGAGUGCAUUUUGUUGAUAUGUCUUGCAUACUUAUAUAUAGGUCUUAUUAUGCAUGCACCAACUACUCCUUUAAUUUCCUCUUACUUUCUUCCAUUUUGUUUCUCACUUGCAAUUUUCAAAUGAUUAAAUUUCCCAUGUGUGGUCUUGACCAGGCAAUUCUUAGAAAGUGACUACUCAACUAACGAGCCAAUAGUAUUAUGAAUGAAGGGUUGGUGAGAUUAAUAACAACACAAAUCCAAAUAAAUUAAACAUGCAAAGAUCGCUAUAGUCACAAAUCUAAACGCGUGCGUAUAAACAAUUCAUUCUUUAUUAAGAAUUAUAAUAGUGCUAACAGCAGUCAUUCAUGUCUAACUAAAACCCAUAAAAUUUACACACAAGUAUAAAUGGUUUCGCUAAUUAGAAGGCUGGAUGAAAGAGCUAAUGCAUAAUACUAUGAAUAAUGUUUAUUUUUGAACAUAUGUAAAUACAACUUCAAAAGUAAAAAAUUAGUUGAAAAACAGGUUAUAAGUUAUUUUCUGAAUUUGGAAUGCAACUUAAAGUUUGAUUUAAAAUUUUUAUAACUAAACACCGAUUUUUAAAUAAAAUAUAAAAAUUAUUCCAAAAAAUAUGAAUAAUUUUUUUUUUUGGUCAAACGAUUCCUAAUAUUUUUGGUUUUCACUAGGAUGCUACUGGUUAAUUAUUUGUCCGAAUCCAAACAAAGUGGAAUGUAGCUACUACUUCACUCCAUCAUAUGUCAAUAAUUAGGAACCAAAGAAUUACUUAACUAAAAAUAGAGAAUUGGUCAGUGGACAAAAAUAGCAGUUUUCAGAGACACAAUAGUCAACUUUUUAAUUGGUCUGUUCUCACCAAUUAAAAUUUAAAGAUGUUACUCAUAUUUAAAUGUCUCACCAAUAACAUCUGUUGAAUAAAGAAUAUUUUUUCUGUUGAAAAAAAAACAUAAUUUACGCAAAAUGGGGAUUUGAAUUUUUGAUUUGGAUUGCAAUUAAGCUUUCAGAUUUAAUUUUUUAAAAGAAUGAAUUUUAGAUUUGGGAUGAAUCGUAUGUAGAAGUCCAAUUUUUUUUAUAAUGACUUUAUAUUUAGCCUGACUAAUUAGACACUCGAUCAUAUGAAAAAUGUCAAAUUCAAUAGCCGAUUUCAAAAUCUCUAUUUAAGACGCACUCAAAAUUUGUUAAAGUAUUGUUGUUUUGAAGUAUGGCAAAGUUAAGGAGUUGUAGUAGUAACAUGGCAAAAGAAGGAAGAUGUGUGUCUUAUUUGCUGAGUUCGAAAUGUAUAAUUGUCAUUCUCAAAAAGGGGGAAUUUGUUAGAAUGAUAAAGAUUUUGAUAAUUGACAAAUACAGAAAAAGAUGAAAGAAACUGGUUGUACAGAGGUGUUCCUUACAGAACGAAUUCGACUUGGAUAAGGAGAACGUCAACCACGUGAAUUAGAAGUUAUAAAGCUGUGGAAUUAUUAUUUUUUCAACAAGCAACAAGUACAAAAAGUUUCCUUUUAUAAAGGAGUUCAAAGCCAAGUGAAAGAAGGAAAACUAAUUCCUAUUUAAGGAAAUCUAUUUAAGGAAAUUGUGUUUUCUUAUUUAUUAAGGAAAUUCUGUAGAAAAGGAGUCCAAGUAGAAGUCAACAAGGAUUUGUAGAAGGCAAAUACAAGUUGAAUUAUACAAGGAUUUGUUAAAGUUUUGAUCUAUAAAUAGGGAGCUAUUUGCAUAAAAAAAAGUGUGCACUUACAUAGAGAGAAGAUCAAAACACGAUCAAGAAGUUUUAAAGAGUUUUGAGAUUUAUUGAGAGUGUAACAAUUUGUGAGAAAAAAUUGUAAAAUUGUAUUCAAGAGUCUUGUUUACAAUCUGAGUUUUGUGAGUAGGAGUUGUUCGACAAGUUGUAGAACUUGAAGAACAUUGGAAGAUAUAAAACUGGGGUUUUUGUAUCUUUGGGUAGCUAGAAAUUAGAGUUUAUAAUUUCUUAGCUAGGAAUUAGAGUUUAUAAUUCCUUAGGUUACAUAGCUUUGUAAUCUUUUGUUGAUACGUGAAAUUUAAUAAAGUGGAGUUAAAUCCUACAGAGGUGUAGGUCCUGGUUUUUACCCUUGUGAGUUGGGGUUUUCCCGCGAUAAAAUAUUGUGUCAUUAUUUUAUUUACUUCACAAAACGUAUCUGCUGUAAUUUCUCAAAGGAACAUAUAGAAUAAACCUGUUCCUAAGGCGAAUUUGGGGGUCAGAAAUCCAACAAUUGGUAUCAGAGCAGGUUAUCUUUGAAGAGUCUAACAACUUAAGAUAAGAUCAUAAUGAAUUCUGCACCUCCUCUUGGGUAUGGUCAAGGGCAACACAUCAACAGACCACCAUUAUUUAAUGGAGAAUACUACUCUUGGUGGAAGACAAGAAUGGAAGAUUUCAUUCAAGCUGAAAAUUACGAACUAUGGGUUAGAAUUACUAAUGGACCAUUAAUUCCUACUAUUACUGAUAGUGAAGGGAAUAAGGUGCCUAAACCUAUAGAAAAGUAUGAAGAAGCCGAUUACAAGAUGUUAGGAAAGAAUGCAAAAGCUAAAUGCAUUCUGGUAUGUGGAUUAGGACCUGAUGAGUUUAACCGCAUCUCUAGUUGUACCUCUGCAAAACAAAUAUGGGACACUUUAAAAAACGCUCACGAAGGUACAACUCAAGUUCGUAAAUUCAGAAUUGCCAAACUUUGUUUUGAAUAUGAAACUUUCAAGAUGAAACCCGGAGAAUCACUUCAAGAUAUGAUCACCAGAUUUACCAUUGUUGUAAAUGAGUUAAUAUCCUUGGGCAAAGUAUACACCACUGAAGAACAGGUAGACAAAGUACUAAGGACUCUGCCUAGAUCAUGGGAAAUAAAAGUUACUGCAAUCAGAGAAGCCAAAGAUCUAACCAAUAUGACUUUGGAUGAAUUAGUAGGAAAUCUCAAAACUUAUGAGAUGAAUGUUGACAAAAGAGGUGAAAGAAAAAAAGAGAAAAAUCUUGGGUUUAAAGCAACUGAAAGUGAUGAAUCUGACAUAGAUGAUGAUGAUCUUGCUCUUAUAUGUAAGAACUUCAAGAAAAUCUUAAAAAGGGAUUAAACGCUAGCAAGAAAUCACCACCCCAAAAAGAAAGAAAUUUUGAGAGACUACAGAGCGGAGGCUGCUUCAAGUGUGGUGAGACAGAUCAUCAGAUCAAGGAUUGCCCAAUGUGGGAAUUAGAAUGGAAAAAGGAAAAAACUGAAAAAGAAAGGAAGGAACUCUUUAAUAAAAAGAAAAACAAAGAAAAAUAACAAGCAAUAUAUGCAGCUUGGGGAACAGGUUCUUCAGACAUGUAUGAAGAAGAAGAUGAGGACAUUGCUUUGAUGGCGAUAGAAGAAUCAGAUGCUGAACCUGAAUCAGACUCUGAAGAAACUGAGGUAAAUCUUCUUAACUUAAAAGAUAAACUAGUAAAGUUCUCUAAGAAAAAACUUUCAUUCUUAUUACUUGCUUCCAUAGACACAAUUCAAGAACUUGUUAACACCAAGAGCCAACUACUUGCUUCCUUAUCUAGCUUAAAGUUUGAGCACAUUGAUCUUAAUAAGAACAAACAUGACCUUCAAGGGAAAAUCAAGCAACUUGAAUCUCACAAUCUGGAACUAAGAACUGAGAAUCUACAAUUAAAAGUUCUUGGUAAAGAAAAAGGGAGUGAACUGCCUGACCAAACACUUGAGGUCGACAAACUAAAAAAUAUUUUAAAACUAGAAAAGGAAAAAUCUAGAAGAAUAAAUUUUGAAUUAACUAGGAUGAGAAGUGAUCUGGAAAGAGCAAAUAAGUGGACAAAAUCCUCCAUGAUAGUAACCCAUCUAGGUAACAAUAAUAGGAACAUUAAAACUGGAAUAGGGUAUGAACAAUCCAUAAAUGAGAAUCCUAUGUUUUGUAUUAUUUGUGGUAUCUCAGGUCAUUCUAAACAAUAUUGUCCUAAAUACAAAGCUAUUGCAGAAAAUAAUGCAAGAGGAACUUAUAAAACUGUUCAAAGGAACAAGUAUACUCAAAGGAAAAAUAAUCUGCCCAAGUGGGCUUAUAGAGAUCUUAUUCAUCCUUUUUGUCAAUACAAAGGACCCAAGCUAGUCUGGGUUCCUAAAUCUAACAUUUGAAUUUGCAGGAAAAGUGAGAGGAAGCAGACAACAUUCACCAAUUGAACAUGUUGUUUCAGAUGCAUGAUUGUAACUUAAAAAAAGAAAAAAAAAGGGAAGAAGAAUGGAUGAAUAACAUUAACGGAAAAAAUUUGAAAAAAAUUGGUUGAAAAAAUGGAGAAAGACUGAAGAAACAUGUUGAAGGAAACAGGUUCAACCUAUGCAGUAUCUAACAAUUAUGCGUAUUAAGAUGAUCAAUCAAUCAAAAAUAUGAUCAGCCAAGGAAAACACUUUCAAAAGGAACAAUUUGAAACCUGGGGAUGAUUAAGGUUGCAUAAGUAUCCAAAAAUGGCUAAUGAACAUUGUGCAUAUUGCCCUCUAAUAUUGAAUUCUAUGCUCAGGUUUGCACAUUAAGUUGUAUGUCUCUAUACCACUUUUAAAGUCAUGCUACUCAUGCCCUAUAACAUUGUAUUUGCAUCUAGCACAGGAGAGAGAUUUGGUAAAAUUGAAGCAAAAUUCAGCACUAUCCAGAGAUCUAAGGUAUGUGCACUACAUUUAUUCAUGAUUAAAUAUAAAGUAAAUGCACUUGAACCUAUUUCUUUCACUUAUCCCAAAAGAUAUUCAUGCCCUAAAUACUACCAAAACAAAUAUCUUCUUAAAAAGCCUUAUCCCAAUGUGAUGGUCUGUGGUUGAGAUGAAUUUGAUGGAGGACACCCCUACUUGGGGCCUUAUAAAUACAGAUUAAGAAAAUAGAGUGUGCUGGUUCUUAGGGGGAAUAUUUUGUAUUGAGUAAAGUCUUGGAGGAUUUACAUUGUGAGGGGGAAUAUUUUGGAGACCCUAUACCUAAACAAAGUUCACUUGUUAGGAUCAACUUGGGUGCAUCUAGUAAAAGGGAAUUGAUGAGAGAUACAUCUGUCGAACCUAGUUCUUCUAUUGGGAACCAUAUAAACUGGGAUUUUGAAUUGAUAUAAAUAAAAUUUAUAGCUGGUGCUGCAGUUGAUAGUACACGUCGAAGGAACAUAUUGAGAGAACAUGUUCCUUUACAAGUGAUAUUCAAGAAAACUUGUUCCUCUUACUGACUCUAUUGAAAUUAAAGAUGAGUGAACUAUUGUUUCUGCAGAAAGAACAUGAUUGAUUGAACAAGUUCCUCAAAAGUGAAAAAAAAGGAUUGAGCGUGCAUAGACCAAGGUUAACUUUGAAAUUGAGAAGGCUGCUAAUUUUGUUAAUCCAAAGAUAUUUUUGCUGCUGAAAAAUGACUUUUAUUUAUCCUCUCAUCUUUUGAUAUUACCUAACCACUCUAGCCUUUGACUUCCAAAUUUUUUUUUCAUCACAAGUGCUUGAUUCUAUGUUUAAUUUUGAUUACAUUUGUGGUGUAUAUGCUUUUUGAUUAAUGCUAAUAUUGGGUUUGAGUUUCAGGUUACUGUCUAUCUCCUAUGUUUAUGCUAAUGCUUUGUUUUAGCUCAUUGGGUUCUUGAUUUUUAAGUGUUUGUGUAAGUGAUAGCCCAGUGGUCAUGAGUAUCGAAUUUGCCUAAUGUCAAAAGGGGGAAGCAGCUGCAUAUGAGUUAUGUGUACCUAUUCAAUGCAAGCAGAUAAAAUUUGCCAUAGUCAAAAAGGGGGAAUUUGUUAAAGUAUUGUUGUUUUGAAGUAUGGCAAAGUUAAGGAGUUGUAGUAGUAACAUGGCAAAAGAAGGAAGAUGUGUGUCUUAUUUGCUGAGUUCAAAAUGUAUAAUUGUCAUUCUCAAAAAGGGGGAAUUUGUUAGAAUGAUAAAGAUUUUGAUAAUUGACAAAUACAGAAAAAGAUGAAAGAAACUGGUUGUACAGAGGUGUUCCUUACAGAACGAAUUCGACUUGGAUAAGGAGAACGUCAACCACGUGAAUUAGAAGUUAUAAAGCUGUGGAAUUAUUAUUUUUUCGACAAGCAACAAGUACAAAAAGUUUCCUUUUAUAAAGGAGUUCAAAGCCAAGUGAAAGAAGGAAAACUAAUUCCUAUUUAAGGAAAUCUAUUUAAGGAAAUUGUGUUUUCUUAUUUAUUAAGGAAAUUCUGUAGAAAAGGAGUCCAAGUAGAAGUCAACAAGGAUUUGUAGAAGGCAAAUACAAGUUGAAUUAUACAAGGAUUUGUUGAAGUUUUGAUCUAUAAAUAGGGAGCUAUUUGCAUAAAAAAAAGUGUGCACUUACAUAGAGAGAAGAUCAAAACACGAUCAAGAAGUUUGAAAGAGUUUUGAGAUUUAUUGAGAGUGUAACAAUUUGUGAGAAAAAAUUGUAAAAUUGUAUUCAAGAGUCUUGUUUACAAUCUGAGUUUUGUGAGUAGGAGUUGUUCGACAAGUUGUAGAACUUGAAGAACAUUGGAAGAUAUAAAACUGGGGUUUUUUAUCUUUGGGUAGCUAGAAAUUAGAGUUUAUAAUUUCUUAGCUAGGAAUUAGAGUUUAUAAUUCCUCUAGGAAUUAGAGUUUAUAAUUCCUUAGGUCACAUAGCUUUGUAAUCUUUUGUUGAGACGUGAAAUUUAAUAAAGUGGAGUUAAAUCCUACAGAGGUGUAGGUCGUGGUUUUUACCCUUGUGAGUUGGGGUUUUCCCGCUAUAAAAUAUUGUGUCAUUAUUUUAUUUACUUCACAAAACGUAUCUGCUGUAAUUUCUCAAAGGAACAUAUAGAAUAAACCUGUUCCUAAGGCGAAUUUGGGGGUCAGAAAUCCAACAAAAUUUAACACACCCUCUGUUUUAAAAAUGAUGACCUAGUUUGACUUGGAAUGGAGUUUAUGUAAAGAAAGAAGACUCUUUAAUCUUGUGGUUCUAAAUUAAAGUUAUGUCAAAUGUAUCAAAAUGCCCUUUAAUCUUGUGGUUUUAAACAUGUCACGUGGAAAACUAAGGUUAAAGGGUUUCCAAAAAAGGAAAAAAGCCAUUCUUUUUUAAACAAACGACAUUCUUUUUUAAACGGAGGGAGUAAUUUUUUGUUAGAGUGGGUUAAAUUGGCUCAAAAGCUGAUCAAACCUAAUUUUAAGUUCUCAAACCUAAUUUUAAGUCGAUUUUUUAGUUCUCAAACUGUUUGAAAUGUAUAAAAAAUAAGUUAAAAUAAGUCCGAAAGUGUUUGACAAUAUAAAAAAUGACUUAAAAUAAAUUAAAAAUCAAAAGUAGAUUUCCCCUAGUUUAUAUUUUUUGACCUAAAAGUCAUUUUCGAUAUCCUCCGUCAUAUAUAUUUUUACGAAAAAGGACAAAUAUGCCCCCGAACUAUCGUAAAUGGUAUGCAGAUACCCUCCGUCAUACUUUUAGGGCAUUGAUGUCCCUGCCGUCCAAAAACUAAAACAUAUAUGUCCUUCACUCUAACGGAAGACUAAAUAGAGACACCGCGUGGCGUUAUCUUAUCUGUCGAUAAAUGUUGGAUCGGUGGAUAAGAUUAUGACACGUGUAUGUCUGUCACAUGUAUGUCCAUUAUAUAAAGGGUAUAUAUGCUCUAGUUUUUUAUGUUAGGGACACCAAUGUUCUAAAAGUAUCACGGAGGGUAUUUACAUACCAUUUACGAUUGUUCAGGGGUAUAUUUGUCCUUUAUCCCUUUUAUUAAUAACAUACAUAAAAAUUCUCUAUAAGAAUGACUACAAGCAAGGGAAGCUAGGUCUUAAUUUACCAAUCCUAAUGUGGUACCUAACAUCUACUAAAUAACAACCAUGAAGAAGAUAUGAGCCACAGAGAACGUAACUAGAUAUUCUAUGAUCAUCACAAAAUUUAUUAAACACUCUAUGAUGAUAUUACAAGUGAGGAUUCUUAAGUAAUGAAAAAUCAUAAAAGCUAAGGAUAAAGUUGAGUUAUCAACAUCAAACUUCCUUUUACAAAUGUAUAAAAUAAAAAAGAUAGUUUGACCCUCUAAAGGAACUUGUAGUAUGUUUCUUUGGUCUUCUUCUUCAAAUUUGUUCAUUAAUAUAUACGUGAUAGUUCAUCACUUCUUGAUUUUAUUGGAUCUUGUUGAAGUUAUUGACUCUAUCAUAUGAUUCUAUUUCUUAGUCGCAUAGGUAGGUGUCUUGGAACAAACUUUGUCACUUUACCAUCCCAACUAUGCUUCCUUUCAUGCUUUGUUUUGUUGUAGCUUUGUUGCCUAGGAGAGAUAUCAGCAUUCCUAGCUGUAUUUGCAAAACAAUAAUCCAACAUUUGCUCUUCCUCUUCCUUACCUUCCUCAGAAAUGUCCUCAGCAAAUUUAUUUGGGAACAAAGUACUACUAUAUACCACCAACUUGAAGUUGUUUGUUAGAGUUAAUAGGUGUAAGAGAAACCAUUUUUUCAAUAUUAGAACUCACCAAAUGAUCAUUUAAGAUUGCGAUAACAUUUGUUGAUGAUGACAAACCUUGUCGGGGAGUUACUAACUUGGCGCUACUAGUCACAAAAGCAUGAGCUGUUGGACUCAAUUUCUUUUGCAUAGGAGGGGAAGUGACUUGUUCUUGCUUUUCAUCUGCUAUAUCUUUCCACCUCGGAGUACUUGUUGCGCCCGGUUGUUCCUUAAAAAUAACUAAUUUUUAACUUGAGAUGAAUUGAUCUCAUGCACAAUACUAUUCGUAAGAGCAUCAAAAGUGUUAAAACACAAGACCUCGUUCAAUGAGAUUGAUGUACCAGUUCCACUCCUUUACCUGUACUCUCUAUCAGCUCCAAUUCUUUUAUCUCCAAAUCUACACCCAUUAACAUUUAUUUUUAUCCAACAUUAUGAGCUAGAGUUAAAAUUUUAUAAUUUUGCUGUCAAUAUACAAUACUUUUAUAUGAAACACUAUAUUUUUGCAUUUACCCAUUUGAUAUGACUAGAGAUACUACAUUUCAUUCUAGUGAUAGAGAUUUUAUUAGUCCCUCCAUAUUUUAAUUGCAAGCGCAUCUAGUUUUCCACAAUAUCCAACAAGUAGUAGUAAUAAUAAUAAUAAUAAUAAUAAUAAUAAUAAUAAUAAUAAUAAUCUUUUUAAUAAUUAAAGAAUGCAACUUGUGAAAACUUUAUAAUUUAAAAAAUGUUUCAUGUAUAUUAUUCAAUUUCAAUGGUUCUAACAAAUGAAAGAAAUAAUAAGGGUUACAAAAAUGCCAUCUCAAUGGAAAACAUACUAACGGCAACAAAUGUCAUCUCUCAUUUCUUUGCCUUCUCAGGAGUAAUGUAGUCAAUCUUAUGGUAAGAGCAUGCACAAUUUUGAGCACCAAUAUCCUCUCCAACACAAGGAGGAUAGGUCUUUCCAUUUUGAUACCAUACUUUUCUUUGUUGCACUAAUUCACUCAUGAAGUUGUCAAGCAUUUCUCGUGUGAUGCCUGGCAUAACAAUAACAUGUGCCAUAUCCUUGACACAUGAGAGUUGCCAACGACGAACAAAUUCAUGAUCACGAGGCCUUUCAAGUACAACUAUGAUGCUAAGCUCAUUCAACAUAACACUUAUCCCUUCUUUUUGAAGACGAUCUUUCAAAUAUUUAGCAUUGUCGAGACAUCUUUUGACAUCCUUUUGCAAGCCAAGUUGACCUUUUGCGCUCAAGCUAUACCAUAAGAAAAUUGGAGUCAAACCGUUACGGCUACCAGAAAUAGUGGCAUCGACAGAAGCAAUGUACUCCACAUUUGUUGAGAGAUUAUUGAUGUAGCUUUUUCUUGUUAUUUGGACACCACAAGGCAUUGGGCAUCCUAAGAACUUAUGACCAGAAAUUGUGACACUUCCAAUUGGCUUCUUGAAACUAAUCAUCUGUUCAAAUUUAAAAAGAAUAAUUAGAUUGUCGCUUUGAGAUUUACUAAAGAUAUUGUAAUUAGAAGUAAGAAGCAAUUGAAACUCACAUUGUUUAUAAAAGGGGUCAUAAGACCACAUAGUGCAGCAUCACAGUGAAUGUAAAACCUAUCUUGUGAAUAGCCACAUUCUUUGAGUAUUUCAAGAAUUGUAUCAACAUCAUCAAUAGCACCUUUGAAGGUAGUUCCUAUAGUUAAAAAAAAAACACCAUCAAGGGAAAAGUCGUAAGAUGACUAACUCCAUAAAAGAGAAGAAAUAAAUAAAAAGGAUAGAAGUUGGAGUAGGUAUAUUUACCAAUUGUGACAUUUAUAAUUGCUGGUUUGUCCUUAUUUUGAAGCAACUUUGCUCUUAAAUCUGAAUAAUCCAUCUCUCCAUUCACUGAUGUGUUUAUUGUUUCUGAAUCCAUUCUAUACAUUCUUGCAGCUUUGAAGACCGAGUAAUGAGAAUCUUUUGAUGCAUAUAAUAUUCCAUCAGGAAGUAGCUCUCUCCUACAUAAGUAAUGUUAAGAAAUUAAAGAGCACUGAAACAAUAAGAGAAGUUAUUAUGAUAUAUACUCGAGUCAAUAUAUAUAUAUACAUGAACUUACCCUAACAAAAUACCAUGGAGAUUGCCUUCGGUGCCACCAUUGGUAACAUAUCCCCAGUAUUGAUCCUUUUCAAUUUCCCAAAGUUGUGCAAACCAAUCCAAAACAGUCACUUCAAAGUCUUUAGAAUGGAAAUCGACAGUGUUUUGUAGGAAAGGAUCACCACAAUUGUUUAGGUGAAACUGUAAAAGUGGUGCUAAAGAUGCAUAGUGAUCAUAACAUAUGUUGACUGGAUAACCUAAAUGAUAAUUGACUCGUCGCGUAAGUGUGUCCAAAUAAUUGACCAAGAUAGUGUCCAAAGAGGGACCAUCAUUGUUCAAAGCAGGCUCCAUGACUUCAAGUUGUAAGUUCUUCCUUGGGCCUGCACCUGAUUGUUCCACCUUCUGUUUUUUGUUGUCCACAUUUGGAAACAAUCUUCGCCGCGCUAAACUUCUAGGUGUCAUCGCUGCUAAACUUCUGGGUGUCAUGGGUGAUGGCUCAAAAUCCUGUCAAAUAUCAUAGUUCAAUUAAAGAUAUAAUUAAGUAAAUUAAAAAUAUAUUUUGUGAUCUAAUGAGGAUGUCUGAGAGAUAAUAUACAACAAUAUUGUGCAUGUAACUAGCUAAGAUGAAGAGUACAUACCAUUUCAAGUGAAAGGCUAUCCAUUCUCGUGAAAUUCAAAUUUAUAUUUUUAUAGUAUGUUUUCUGUUUGCUUAGAAUAAAGCAGAAGUAUUUAUAUUGUUGAGUGCAUUUUGUUGAUAUGUCUUGCAUACUUAUAUAUAGGAUUAUAGGUCUUAUCGUGCAUGCACCAACUACUCCUUUAAUUUCCUCUCUUUUUCUUUCAAUUGUGUGUCCCACUUGUUUUUUCUACAGUUCUAUUAAGUAUAUUAUAUAUGUCGCAAAUGAUGAACUUUUCACAUGUGCGAUUUUGACCAAGACAUUCUUAGAAGGUGACAAUUCAACCUACCAGCCAAUAUUAUGAAUGAUGGGACGGUGAGAUUAAUAAUAACACAAAUUCAAAUAAACUAAACAUGCAAAUAUACUAUAGUCACAAAUUAAACGCGGGGAGUAAAAAAAAAAAAGCAUACUAAAGACGUAUAAAAUAAUAUGUUGGAUUAUUACUUUUACAAUUUAAUCAUCUACGUUCUAUUUUAGCCCUUAUUUUUCUGAUAAUUACUAAACCUCAUUAACCUUUGCCAUAUUACUGUAUGUAUUAUGUAAAAAAUACUUAAAAUAAUGUUCAUGUUUAAAUAUACUUAAAUAUAACUUCAAAAAAACGAAAUGUCAAUUGGAGAACACAUUAUAAGUUGUUUCAAAUUUGAAACACAAAUUUUAAGUUGAACUUAGAACUUUUAUGAUCAAACACUGAUUUUCAAAUAAAGUAAAAAUACAAAACAUUCGAAAAAAAUAUUCCCACGGUCCUUUUUUACCUGUCCUAUUUUGACUUUUAGUUAUUUAUUUUUACUUGUUAUUUUUGACAUAUCAAGAAAAUAACACUUUCUUUGUCCUUAAUUAUUUGUUCACAUUUCCUUUUUUAAUUGUCUCUAAUUACUUGUCAAUUUUGACAAAUCAAGAAAGGACAAUUAAUUAAUAAGCGCAUUAUAUUAAUUAUUUAUUUUUUAAUAAAUAUGUCAAUUUAAAAUUAGACAAACAAGAAUAGAGAAAAUAUUAUACCCUCAAUUUAUUUGGAAAGUUAUACUUUUUGGAAAAGGUAGAACCUUUGUAAUGAAUAAGUAAAUAGGACAAAUAAUGAAUAAUUCUUUAUAGUCAAACGAGGACUAAUGUAUUUUGCAUUCACUAUGAUGCUACUGAUUCUGUCUGAAUCCAAGAAAGUGUAAUGUACGUAGCCUAAUUCACUCCACCAAAUGUCAAUAAUUAGGAACCAAAAUAGUUGGAGCUUUUUCAAAGACACAACAAGUCAACCUUUCAAUUGGUCUACUUUUAACACUGUUCACAACAAUUAUAAUUUUUAAAAUGUUAUUACAAAUAUAAAUGUGUUACUAAUAACAUGUUAAAUACUAUGAAAACUUUUUUAUUCUGUCCCAACUUAAAUUUGAAUUUUUUUUUAUUGAAUUAAGGUUUAGCUUCUAGAUUUAAUUUUUAAUUAUUUUGGAUUUCAGACUUGUGAUUAAUUAUAUUUGAAAUAUUCUUUUUUAUUUUUGUAGUGAACUUAUAUUUAGCCCCAUCAGUUAGACGCUCAACCAUAUGGAAAAUGCCAAGUCCAAUAAAAUUUUUGUUAGCCUAAUCAUUUCAAAAUCAAUCAACUUUAAUUGAGAAUUUAGAUAUAGACUAACAAAUCAUUUCAAAAUCAAUCAAUUUUAAUUUAGAAUUUAGAUAUAGACUAACAAAUCAUUUCAAAAUCAAUCAACUUUAAUUGAAAAUUUAGAUAUAGACUAACAAAUCAUUUCAAAAUCAAUCAAUUUUAAUUUAGAAUUUAGAUAUAGACUAUCCACUUGGCCUUUCUCCGUGAUCAUCUCAAUAGAACUCUAUAUAUGCCGCUAAACAAAAAUAAUCUUUAACCUAAUGACGAUAAAUUCACACAUUAAUAAAGAGUGAUAAAGUAUUUAUCGACAUUACUUAGCUAUUAUAGAUUUAAUAUCAUUAUAAGUUUUAGAAUAUUUAAUAAUAGUUAAAUUAUUAUUGUUAAUUAAUUACCGUUAAAAAUAUUUUUGAUGAAGUGAAGGGUGGAACCUAAUUCUAACUAUUAUUGCUGAACGCUUGCUAAUUCAAACAACUGAAAUUUCCAAACUUAAUAAAGAUGGAUAUUACAAUGUACGAGGUUAAAGUAUGCUAGAAUUUGAAAACAGAGAGCAUUAAAGAUUUUAUAAGAGGCAAAUGUUGUAUUUUGCAUUAUACAAUAUUCUUUUAAGUUAUGUAUCGUUUCUUUAAAGAAUUUAUGCCUCACUAGACAUAAAUUUAAUUUCUAAAGACAAAAAUUAAAGAUCAGUCCAUAAUAAUGAAAAUUUCUUAGUUAAAAAAAGAAAAAAUCAGUCCAUAUGGAAAACAAAUAGUUUAAUUAAAUGGAAUUGAAUUAAGCUUUUAAGCUUACCAAACGAUCUCACUCUAAACGAAUGAACGUGGAAUCAUGAAGAGUAAAGACUAUGCAUUUUUCUCCAUAUAAUAUGCUAGUUACAUGUUAUGUAAUUUUUCUGGAAUUGUCCGUGUUUGAUCCACUCACUAUUUAUAUUAAGCAAAACUUAAUUUAAACAUACUACCACUAUAGUCUACACUCUAUAGACAGCAAAACAAAUUAUUACUUUCUUUUUUCUUACAACAUUCUAACUUUUAAGUAUGUCAGCAUCAUAUAUUAUUACAAGCAAGAAGCUCAAAACUUAAAAGUUGAAUUACUAUUUUGUCUCUCUAAAAAAUUAUAACAUUUAUAAUUUUCAUAUAUAUAAUCUUCUUAAUUUCAUUCCAUAAUCUUGACCUUUCAAAUUUCUAACACAAAUGUAAAUAAAAAUAAAAAUGAGUAAUUAUUCCUUAUAGACAAGAAAUUAAAAUACAUUCAUGUAUCUUUAAAAUUAAAUUUCAUCUCUAUCUUUUUUAUAUUUAUUGUAACAAUAAUUCAUGUGACUUUUCAUGUUUUCAUAAUUUUGUUCUAUAAAUUUAACUUUUUCAAGAAAAUCUUUUAUUUACCACUCCUACAAUUCUUGUGUGUAGAAACCCUAAACAUGUGAAAUAAUGUCAUAAUUUGAGGUGAAAGUUGUGAGAUCCCUUCUGCAGUCACGAGAAUAGACAAGAAUUUAAUUACUGAAGCAUCAGAGCUUGAUGUGUUAGUUCUAUACUUAUUUGUAGUAAGAAUUAUAAUAAGAUUUUUUUGACUCUCUUCAUAUAUAGUUGAAUUCUUGUUUUAUUAGCAAAUUGCUCUAAAUUCAUAUUUGUAUUUUGUAUGCUCAAAUGUUCAGUUUCACUAUAGAGACAAAUAAAAUGAAAUGUCUAAUUAUCUUGCUCAUCUGUACCUUUUCUUUUUUCUCUUUUUGCUUUGUACUUAUAAUUUUACAUAUACAUUAAUUUUCAUCUUUAAGAAUGAAUGUGAUAAAAUAGGAUGUUUAGUCUUUUCUUUUCUUUUUAUGAAAAAAAAGGUGAAACAUUAGAUUAAUGGUGGAUAAGUUAUGUAUGAAGAGAAAAUUAAAUUUUAUAUAAAAAUAGUAGUUAUUCAUAAAUAUUUUGAUUUCAAAAUAUAAAUAAUAAGACUUUUUACAUUUAAGUUUUAAAUAUUUAUAGUUAACUAAUUAGUUUGAAGUGUUUGUGGAUAAAAAUUUAAUACAAUAUUUUAAACAUAUUCAUUAUAAUUAUCAGGAGAUUCAAAAGGCAAAGUAAAAAAGUUGAAAGGUUUUGUUUUCCUUUCACUCAAAGUUAAUCUUACACUAUUUCUUCUAACAUUAUUCUACCAAUAAAACGUAACUAUCAAGAAAUUUAAUUUAAAUAGUUGUUAUUUUUCCUUUUUGCUUUACAAACUUAUUUUUUGAAUUAUAAACGAAGUUUAUUUUAUUAAUUUCUCAUAUUGUUAUCUCGAUGCAUUCACUAGGAGGUCAGAAAAUUGGAGUGUCACAAUUAGUAGUAAAACAAAGUAAGAAAUCUCAAUUAGACAUAUUUUAUUAUUUAUUAAUAUUAUCUUUUAAGAAAUAAUACACUCAUGAGUUACACGCGCAAAGCGCGUGCUCGGAAACUAGUAUAUAUAUAUAUAUAUGGACCAACAAUAUUUACGUGUAUUCAUGUAAACAGUGGAGGAGUUAGAAUUUUAUCUAAGGAGUGUCAAUAUAUUAAGAAAUAAAAUCGCGUAGAAGCCAAGGAGUGUCAAUAUGUAAUAUAUAUAUAUAUAUAUAUAUAUAUAUAUAAAUUUUUUAUUCUAGCUACAUAAUUUUCCGACGAAAGGGUGUCGGUCGACACCCCUUUUAACUAUAUGUGGCUCCGCCACUGAUUGUACAUCUCAGUAGUCAGUUCCCUUCAUUCAUAAUCUUAUUUGAAUCGCAAAUUAACAGUUACUCAAAGAUCAUAAAGAGUGUUAACUUUUUCAUUGAAAAAUGUUUCAGUUAUAUAUGUUGUUGAAUGCCUUGAAUCAGGCCCUUAAUUUUCUGUUGAUUCUGUAUGUUGGGCCCAAGCCUUUUAGGGCGUAGCUUAGCACUAUAUAUAGACGCUAUGUCAAACCCUAUUCUGUAACUCUGUUUUUGCCUCUCCAUAAUAAAACUGCUCCCUCUCUUCCCGUGGACGUAGCCAAUUUAUUGGUGAACCACGUAAAUCUGUUGUCUUAUUUUUCUCGUUUAUAUAUUUUCUCGUAUUAUCUCAAAUUUCGCACAACAAAUUGGUAUCAGAGCCUCUCGGUUAAUCGGUGUUCUUGGAGAAUUCGAGAUGUCUGCUUUGAACGUGAAAAUCGACAAAUUCACAGGGAGGAACAGUUUCAGUUUAUGGCAGAUCAAGAUGCGGGCUUUGUUGAAACAGCAAGGCUUCUGGGCGUCGUUGUCGAAAGACAAGAACGCCGUUGUUACUCCUGAGAUGGAGAUUCUGGAGGAAAAGGCGCACUCGACAAUCAUGCUGUGUCUCGCGGAUGACGUCAUCACGGAGGUCUCGGAUGAAGAGACUGCUGCUGGUCUGUGGUUGAAGCUGGAGAGUUUGUACAUGACAAAAUCUCUAACCAACAAGCUGCUUCUGAAACAACGUCUAUUCGGUUUACGAAUGGCUGAAGGUACACAACUCAGGGAACACUUCGAGCAAUUGAAUACUUUGUUAUUAGAAUUGCGUAAUAUCGAUGUGAAGAUCGAGGAUGAAGAUGCUGCCCUGAUUCUGUUAGUAUCUCUCCCAAUGUCGUUUGAGAAUUUUGUUCAAUCGUUCAUUGUUGGGAAAGAUACUGUGUCACUGGAAGAAGUCAGAUCGGCCCUUCAUAGCAGGGAAUUACGGCAUAAGGCUAACGGCACAAGUACGGACAUACAGCUUUCCGGUCUGUUCACCAGUAGCGGAAAGGGAAGGAAAAACGGCGGAAAGAAAAAUAAGCCGAUGUCGAAGGGUGCAAAGCCGGAUGAUGCUUGUAAUUACUGCAAGGAGAAGGGACAUUGGAAAUUUGAUUGUCCGAAGAAGAAGAAGCAAUCGGAAAAACAAUCAGUGUCUGCUGCUGUUGCUGAAGAAGACACCAAUUCUGAAGAAGAUAUUGCCCUAGUUGCGGAUGAGCACACUCAUCAUUCAGAUGUGUGGGUUCUUGAUUCUGGGGCAUCCUAUCACAUCUGUCCUAGGAGAGAGUGGUUCACGACUUAUGAGCAGGUAGACGGAGGCAGCAUCUCGAUGGCCAACAGUUCUGUCUGCAAGGUGGUUGGGACAGGCUCGAUCAAGAUAAGGACACAUGACGGUAGCUUCUGCACAUUGAACGAGGUCAGGCACGUUCCAUUGAUGAUGAAAAAUCUGAUAUCUCUCAGUCUUUUGGACAGCAAGGGAUUCAGCUGGUCGGGAAAAGAUGGAGUCUUGCGGGUCUGGAAGGGUUCAAAUUUGAUUCUGAAAGGUGUCAUGCGUGGUACUUUGUAUUUUCUACAAGGUUCCACGGUUACAGGUUCAGCCCAUGUUGCAUCGUCAGAAUUUCACCAGAAGGAUAUGACUAAGUUAUGGCACAUGAGACUUGGUCAUAUGGGUGAAAGAGGGAUGCAAAUUCUGUCAAAGGAGGAUUUACUUGCUGGUCAUAAGGUUAAGAGCCUAGAGUUUUGUGAACAUUGUGUUUUUGGAAAACUACAUCGCAACAAGUUUCCAAAGGCCAUUCAUAGAACAAAAGGCACACUUGAUUAUAUCCAUUCUGAUUGAUGGGGUCCAUGCCGUGUUGAGUCUUUGGGAGGCUGCAGAUUUUUUGUGUCCAUUAUUGAUGACUACUCAAGGAUGACUUGGGUGUACAUGAUGAAGCAUAAAAGUGAAGCCUUCCAGAAGUUCAAGGAGUGGAAAAUUUUGAUGGAAAAUCAAACAGGGAAGAAGAUCAAGAGGUUGCGAACUGAUAAUGGGCUGGAAUUCUGUUGGUCUGAAUUUGAUCAAUUCUGUAAGGAUGAAGGGAUUGCUCGACAUCGUACAGUCAGAAAUACACCACAGCAGAACGGUGUAGCUGAGCGGAUGAAUCAAACACUUCUGGAGAGAGCAAGGUGCAUGCUCUCUAAUGCUGGGCUAGAUAGAAGAUUCUGGGCAGAAGCGGUUAGUACAGCUUGCUACUUGAUUAACCGCGGACCACAUACAGGCAUACAGUGCAAGACACCUAUGGAGAUGUGGUCAGGAAAAGUUGCUGAUUAUUCAAAUCUGAAAGCUUUUGGUUGUACGGCUUACUAUCACGUCAGUGAAGGUAAGUUAGAACCAAGAGCUAAAAAGGGAGUAUUUGUGGGCUACGGAGAUGGAGUGAAAGGUUUCAGAAUCUGGUCUCCAGCAGAAAAGAGGGUUAUUAUGAGCAGGAACGUUGUCUUUGAUGAAAGUUCUCUGCUUAGAACCAUUGUGAAGCCUACAACUACGUCAGAAACUGGGAGUCUUGACAAACAGGUGGAGUUUCAAGUCAUUCAGAACGAGAGCGAUUUAAAGGAACCUGAAGAGGAGGAUCAAGAUCCACAGACAGAAACUGAUAUUCCAGAAUCUAUGCCAUCAGAUAUCCAUCAGAGUAUAGCUCAAGAUCGGCCAAGGAGGGUUGGAGUUCGGCCACCUACGAUGUAUGGUUUUGAGGACAUGGUGGGUUAUGCACUGCAGGUUGCUGAAGAGGUAGAUACAUCUGAGCCGUCUACUUACAAAGAAGCCAUUUUCAGUUCUGAUUCUGAAAAAUGGUUUGCCGCUAUGGGAGAUGAGAUGGAGUCCCUACACAAGAAUCAGACAUGGGAUCUGGUCAUACAGCCUUUGGGGAGAAAGAUUAUUACUUGCAAAUGGGUUUUCAAGAAGAAGGAAGGGAUAUCACCAGCAGAAGGAGUCAAGUAUAAAGCCAGGGUUGUUGCCAGAGGUUUCAACCAAAGAGAGGGAGUGGACUACAAUGAGAUCUUCUCACCAGUGGUCAGACAUACUUCCAUCCGAGUGUUACUAGCGAUAGUUGCACAUCAGAAUCUGGAGCUUGAACAACUUGAUGUGAAGACUCUCGUUUCUACAUGGAGAGUUGGAGGAAGAGAUAUACAUGACUCAGCCGGAUGGUUUCCAAGUUACAGGGAAGGAAAAUCACGUCUGCAAGUUGAAGAAGUCCUUAUAUGGACUUAAGCAGUCUCCAAGGCAGUGGUAUAAAAGGUUUGACAGCUAUAUGGUGAAGUUGGGCUAUACUCGGAGCUCAUAUGAUUGUUGUGUCUACUACAAUAGGCUCAAUGAUGAUUCAUUCAUCUAUCUGGUGCUUUAUGUAGAUGAUAUGUUGAUAGCUGCAAAGAAGAAGUAUGACAUUCAGAAGCUGAAGGGUUUACUUAGUGCUGAGUUUGAGAUGAAGGAUCUGGGAGCCGCUCGGAAGAUUUUAGGGAUGGAGAUCAUUAGAGACAGAGAGAGAAGGAAACUUUUCUUGUCACAGAGAAGCUACAUUCAGAAGGUCUUGGCGAGGUUUGGCAUGUCUUCAUCUAAGCCCAUUGAUACCCCCAGUGCUGCCAAUAUCCAUCUCACUGCCAUGUUCGCUCCACAGUCAGAAGAAGAGAAGGAGUAUAUGUCACGAGUCCCUUAUGUCAGUGCCGUAGGAAGUUUGAUGUAUGCUAUGGUCUGUACAAGGCCAGAUUUAGCACAUGCAGUCAGUGUAGUGAGCAGAUUCAUGGGACAACCAGGGAGAGAACAUUGGCAGGCUGUGAAGAGAAUUUUCCGGUACCUUAGAGGUACAUCUGACGUUGGUCUCAUUUAUGGAGGUGAUACUCAGUGCUUGGUUACUAGCUAUUCUGAUUCAGACUAUGCUGGAGAUGUUGACACAAGAAGAUCGAUGACUGGCUAUGUGUUUACCCUUGGAGGAUCUGUCGUCAGUUGGAAGGCAACUUUGCAACCUACAAUGACUUUGUCUACUACGGAAGCGGAGUACAUGGCCUUGACAGAGGCUGCAAAAGAAGGGAUUUGGUUGAAAGGGCUGGUUAGUGAUCUUGGUCUGCAUCAUGAUCAGGCUACGGUGUAUUGUGACAGUUUGAGCGCAAUUUGUCUAGCCAAGGAUCAAGUCCAUCAUGAGAGAACCAAGCAUAUCGACGUAAGGUAUCAUUUUCUGAGAAGUGAGAAGAGAAUCAAGGUGAAGAAAGUAGGAACUGCUGAUAAUCCUGCUGAUAUGUUCACAAAGCCGGUUCCACAGAGCAAGUUUCAACACUGUUUGGACUUGUUCAACAUCAGAAGCUGUUAAUUGCCCUGCGGGGCAACUCUGAGGAAGAGGGGGAGGCCUGGCACUAUCAUAGUGCGUCUGAAGAAUCUGUUCGGAGAAUUCAAGUCAAGGUGGAGAUUUGUUGAAUGCCUUGAAUCGGGCCCUUAAUUUUCUGUUGAUUCUGUAUGUUGGGCCCAAGCCUUUUAGGGCGUAGCUUAGCACUAUAUAUAGACGCUAUGUCAAACCCUAUUCUGUAACUCUGUUUUUGCCUCUCCAUAAUAAAACUGCUCCCUCUCUUCCCGUGGACGUAGCCAAUUUAUUGGUGAACCACGUAAAUCUGUUGUCUUGUUUUUCUCGUAUUAUCUCAAAUUUCGCACAACAUAUGUUAUCCAAUAGUACAAUAUAUCAUGUAUACAAUUGAAUUUCAAUAUUGUAAAUAAAAGAAUGAAGUAACAAGAGUUAAAAAAUGCCAUUUCUUUGCAAUAAAUUAAAUAACUGGAUGAUCUUAUCUUCUGUGCCUUCUAUGGAGUACUAAUGUAAUCAAUCUUAUGAUAAGAGCAUGCAACAAUAUCUUCUCCAACACAAGGAGGAUUGGUCUUUCCAUUUUGAUACCAUGCUUUUCUUUGUUGCACUAGUUCACUCAGGAAGUUGUCAAGCAUUUCUCGUGUGAUGCCUGGCAUUACAAUAACAUGUGCCAUAUCCUUGACGCAUGAAAGUUGCCAUCGACGCACAAAUUCAUGGUCACGAGGCCUUUCAAGUACAACUAUGAUGCUAAGCUCAUUCAGCAUGACACUUAUCCCUGCUUGUUGAAGACGAUCUUUCAAAUAUUUGGCAUUGUCGAGACAUCUUUUAACAUCCUUUUGAAGUCCAACUUGACCUUUUGCGCUCAAGCUAUACCAUAAGAAAAUUGGAGUUAAACCAUUACGGCUACCAGAAAUAGUGGCAUCGACAGAAGCAAUGUAUUCCACAUUUGUUGAGAGAUUAUUGAUGUAGCUUUUUCUUGUUAUUUGGACACCACAAGGCAUUGGGCAUCCUAAGAACUUGUGACCAGAAAUUGUGACACUUCCAAUUGACU